UACGUAGGGUGCAAGCGUUAAUCGGAAUUACUGGGCGUAAAGGGUGCGCAGGCGGCCAAGUGUGUGAGGCGUGAAAGCCCGGGGCUUAACCCCGGAAUUGCACCUCAAACUACAUGGCUAGAGCAUUGGAGAGGGUAGCAGAAUUCACGGUGUAGCAGUGAAAUGCGUAGAUAUCGUGAGGAAUACCAGAGGCGAAGGCGGCUACCUGGACAAUUGCUGACGCUCAGGCACGAAAGCGUGGGGAGCAAAAGGG
Molecule: ribosomal RNA, 253 nt
Filed under: uncultured bacterium
Lineage: Bacteria
Description: partial 16S ribosomal RNA
Rfam family: Bacterial small subunit ribosomal RNA
Source: RNAcentral